The submitters of this non-coding RNA (57 nucleotides) gave its source as unclassified sequences. The record is from Rfam.
UAUAUUUGCACCACUUAUAUAAGUAUACAUAAUAAUCAUUUAAAUAAUAUUGGAAUG